This 253-nucleotide ribosomal RNA is filed under the name uncultured bacterium. RNAcentral describes it as "partial 16S ribosomal RNA". It matches the Rfam family "Bacterial small subunit ribosomal RNA", at positions 524 to 776 of the family's 1533-position model. The record is from RNAcentral.
UACGAAGGGGGCUAGCGUUGCUCGGAAUUACUGGGCGUAAAGGGCGCGUAGGCGGCACUGUUAGUCAGGCGUGAAAUUCCUGGGCUCAACCUGGGGACUGCGCUUGAUACUGGCACGCUCGAGUUCGGGAGAGGAUGGUGGAAUUCCCAGUGUAGAGGUGAAAUUCGUAGAUAUUGGGAAGAACACCGAUGGCGAAGGCAGCCAUCUGGACCGACACUGACGCUGAGGCGCGAAAGCGUGGGGAGCAAACAGG